This is a non-coding RNA of Meiothermus ruber DSM 1279, 74 nucleotides long. The record is from Rfam. Lineage: Bacteria; Thermotogati; Deinococcota; Deinococci; Thermales; Thermaceae.
CGCGGGGUGGAGCAGUCUGGUAGCUCGUCGGGCUCAUAACCCGAAGGUCAUAGGUUCAAAUCCUAUCCCCGCAA